This 659-nucleotide long non-coding RNA is filed under the name Ananas comosus (pineapple). RNAcentral describes it as "long non-coding RNA (ACOM_LNC006768)". Lineage: Eukaryota; Viridiplantae; Streptophyta; Magnoliopsida; Poales; Bromeliaceae. The record is from RNAcentral.
ACUUACAGGAAAAGUUCUAAUGUGCCACGUGGCGCACUUAUCAUAAUAUAUAUUUUUUAAAUUUAUCAUAAUAUAUUUUUUAAUUCACAAAUAUUAUAUAUAUAUAUAUAUAUAUAUAUAUAGAGAGAGAGAGAGAGAGAGAGAGAGAGAGAGUUGAGCUAGAAUACUCUCGGUAGUAAACUAGCCGUUUUACUAUCGAGUUGUUUUCGAUAAUAGAGCUUCCAAAUUGACGAUCGGCUUCGUUAAAUAUGAUCUAAACCAUUUAAACUAUCUAGAAAUCAAAUUUCACGCACUUUCGGUAUUAUUUUUUUUCCAUCUAGUGAACAGAAAAAUAAAUGGCUGAAAAUGAAUAUUCUUUAAAAAAUGACGAUAGCAGUUUUGUAAUCAAGAUCAAGAGUAUAGAUCUUGUUUUUAAUAGUUUAAAGAAUUUUCUAACAAAAAUUCAAUUGAUUUGGAUAUCUUUACACCGUUAAACAAGAAAACGUCUCUUAUCCACCAUUAAAAUUACAAAUUUUGAAACCCUUUGAUCAUUAGGCAAAUGAUGUCGAAAAGAUUUGAAAUUUGAUUUCUAAAUACUUCAAGUGGUAUAGAUCAUGUUCAACGGAACCGAUCGUCAAUUUGGAAGCUCUAUCAUCGAAAACAACUCGAUAGUAAAACGG